This 504-nucleotide ribosomal RNA is filed under the name uncultured bacterium. Its description in RNAcentral is "partial 16S ribosomal RNA". It matches the Rfam family "Bacterial small subunit ribosomal RNA", at positions 30 to 523 of the family's 1533-position model. The record is from RNAcentral.
AUUGAACGCUGGCGGCAGGCCUAACACAUGCAAGUCGAACGGUAGCACAGAGAGCUUGCUCUCGGGUGACGAGUGGCGGACGGGUGAGUAAUGUCUGGGAAACUGCCCGAUGGAGGGGGAUAACUACUGGAAACGGUAGCUAAUACCGCAUAACGUCGCAAGACCAAAGUGGGGGACCUUCGGGCCUCACACCAUCGGAUGUGCCCAGAUGGGAUUAGCUAGAAGGUGGGGUAAUGGCUCACCUAGGCGACGAUCCCUAGCUGGUCUGAGAGGGUGACCAGCCACACUGGAACUGAGACACGGUCCAGACUCCUACGGGAGGCAGCAGUGGGGAAUAUUGCACAAUGGGCGCAAGCCUGAUGCAGCCAUGCCGCGUGUAUGAAGAAGGCCUUCGGGUUGUAAAGUACUUUCAGCGGGGAGGAAGGCGGUGAAGUUAAUAACUUCACCGAUUGACGUUACCCGCAGAAGAAGCACCGGCUAACUCCGUGCCAGCAGCCGCGGUAA